ACAUUUUUUUUUUUUUUGCUAUGAAGACCAUAUUUGUUUUAAAAGUCACAUCUUUCUAUUUCACUAUUGAUUUUUAACAUUUUUUGUCCAUUUUUCAUUUUUUCAGCAAAUUCAUCAUCCAGGAAGUCAAAAGCAGUUGGAAGAUGUUUGGGAACAACAGGAUCAUAUGCAGAAGGAAAAUUUCAACCCACGAACAUUCUUCAUGAUGCAUGAUUUAAAUGGAGACAUGUUUUGGGAUGAAGAGGAGGUUAAAGUCUUAUUCUUAAGAGAAGUGGAGAAAAUUCAUCAGGGUGAAUCAAAUCCAGAUGCCAUUGUUAAAAAUGAAGAUUUAGAAAGGAUGAGAGAGCACUAUUAUAAUGAAGUUGACAAAAUAAAGACAGACUCAUCAGCUUGGAAGAGUUCAUAGCCUCUACACAACAAGCUGAAUUUCGUCAGGAUGACGGUUGGAAGCCAGUGAAUGAACAGCAAGUUUACUCGCAAGAAGAACUCCGUCAAUUUGAAAUGCAGCAACACCACAUCAACCAGCUCAUUGCAGAGGGCAAACUUCCACCAAGUGCUGCGUACCAAUACCAUGGACUGCCGCCUCAACCUCCUCAUGGCUAUCACUAUGAUCCUAAUGCAGUUCCAUACAAUCAACCACAGUACCAGGCUCCUCAAUAUCACGGCGCACAAUACCAGGCAGUGCAUCCUGCACAAUACCAAGCUGCUCCACCUCAACAAUUCCAAGGAGCUGGUGGCCAUCACGCACAGUACCCAGCAGGAGCACAUGUACCCCAGCAUCAAGCCCCGCAAGCUGCGGUCCAUAUGCAGCCUGGAGUCGGAGCUCAUCCGCAACAAUAUCAAGCUGCAGCUCACGCACAGCCACAACAAUAUCAAGCUGCGGCUCACGCACAGCCACAACAAUACCAAGCUGCGGCUCAGGCACAACCUGGAGCUGGAGCUCAUCCGCAACAAUACCAAGCUGCAGCUCAGGCGCAGCCUGUAGCUGGGGCUCAUAAUCAGCAAUAUCAGGCUCAACCUCAGUAUCAAGCUGCAGGUCAACAACAGUAUCAUCAACCAGCAGCCCAGAAUCAGCAAGCACCUGCCUCCCAGAACGUGGGAAGCCAAGGUUACCAAGUCCAUCAGACGGCCAGUGAUCUCAAACCAGCGGCUAAUCAAAACCAGCACGCAGCCAAUGAAUUCCGAAUCAACCAAUAA
RNAcentral lists this long non-coding RNA (1197 nucleotides) under Bemisia tabaci. RNAcentral describes it as "lncRNA ENSSWEETPG006597". Lineage: Eukaryota; Metazoa; Arthropoda; Insecta; Hemiptera; Aleyrodidae. The record is from RNAcentral.